Molecule: long non-coding RNA, 201 nt
Filed under: Mytilus galloprovincialis (Mediterranean mussel)
Lineage: Eukaryota; Metazoa; Mollusca; Bivalvia; Mytilida; Mytilidae
Source: RNAcentral
CUUUGGUCUGGUAUGAGAUUCUGGAUGGGGUUUGCAUAAUAGUGAAGAAUCGGCAAAAAGUCCAGAUGAAAGGGCCAAAAAUAAGAAUAUAUCGAGAAAAUAGACAGAAACAAAUGAAAUAAAGCAAAUAUUAUACUCUUGUGCUGAAAUAGAAAGAGAAUAAUGUCAACAACAAAAAAUAAAAGACUAGAGAAAAUGGCC